CCUUUGGGAAUCUGUUCAAUUGGCUUGUGUAUUAGAAGUCACUGGGGUAUGUGGUGGGAGGGGCAGCAUAUACUCAGUCAUGGUACUCAUUUCAGUGCUGGGGUGGAAAUGUUGUUUUUCUCAGGCUUAGGGGUGACUGUAGUAUCUACAACAGAGAUUAUCAAGUGUCAGGUUUCAUUGAUCAAGGCCGAUGUUAUGUUUAUUUUUUAUGUUUAUGCUCCUAAUGAGGGUACAGAGCAUAUUGCUGUAUUUGAUCAAAUAAAGGAAAUCUUAAGACAGUGGGACCAAGAGGGGUGUAUGGUUUUAGAGGGGGACUGGAACUGUACAGUGGGUUUCACUGAUCGCACUGCUGAAGAACCUCACCUCAUCUAAUAACCGAGUUUCAGCUUUCUGAUGUGUGGAGAGUCAGGAAUGCAAAAGUUAGGCUGUACACAUGGCUAAAAGUUAAUGAAGGUGGUGUCAGUGCAGCAACGUUAGACAGGUUGUAUGUAUCUGAUCACUACUGUAGUAGGGUUGGAAGGUUAGACAGGUUGUAUGUAUCUGAUCACUACUGUAGUAGGGUUGGAAGGUUAGACAGGUUGUAUGUAUCUGAUCACUACUGUAAUAGGGUUGGAAGGUUAGACAGGUUGUAUGUAUCUGAUCACUACUGUAAUAGGGUUGGAAGGUUAGACAGGUUGUAUGUAUCUGAUCACUACUGUAAUAGGGUUGGAAGGUUAGACAGGUUGUAUGUAUCUGAUCACUACUGUAGUAGGGUUGGAAGGUUAGACAGGUUGUAUGUAUCUGAUCACUACUGUAGUAGGGUUGGAAGGUUAGACAGGUUGUAUGUAUCUGAUCUCUACUGUAGUAGGGUUGGAAGGUUAGACAGGUUGUAUGUAUCUGAUCACUACUGUAGUAGGGUUGGAAGGUUAGACAGGUUGUAUGUAUCUGAUCACUACUGUAGUAGGGUUGGAAGGUGUGAUAUUACUCCUGUGGGUUUUUCUGAUCAUCAUAAUGUGUCUAUUGAUAUUCACUUGUCCAGUCCUCCAAGGUCAUCACCUUACUGGUAUUUUCAUGUUAAGUUGUUACAUGACCAUGUUUUGUGAAAAGUUUAUGUUGUUUUGGGAAAAAUGGAGGGUUAUUAAAUGGAAUUUUGAGUCCUUGAGACGAUGGUGGGAGGUUGGGAAGGCCCAAAUACGUGUGUCUUGUCAACAGUAUACUGCUCUGUCUAGUAUUGAAGUUAAAGAGACUAUCAGGGCCCUUGAACAGGACAUCAAAUCUAUUGAAUUGAAGUUGCUCAAUCAGAAUUACCCAGGACUAGUCAUGAACUUACAGGACAAUAGACAUGAACUGAGGUCGUUUUUACAUGAACGUGUU
This 1353-nucleotide long non-coding RNA is filed under the name Salmo salar (Atlantic salmon). RNAcentral's name for it is "lncRNA (ENSSSAG00000092596.1)". Lineage: Eukaryota; Metazoa; Chordata; Actinopteri; Salmoniformes; Salmonidae. The record is from RNAcentral.